Molecule: transfer RNA, 69 nt
Filed under: Rattus norvegicus (Norway rat)
Lineage: Eukaryota; Metazoa; Chordata; Mammalia; Rodentia; Muridae
Rfam family: tRNA
About the family: Transfer RNA (tRNA) molecules are approximately 80 nucleotides in length. Their secondary structure includes four short double-helical elements and three loops (D, anti-codon, and T loops).
Source: Rfam by way of RNAcentral
GGGGAUUUAGCUCAGCAGUAGAGCGCUUGCCUAGCAAGCAUAAGGCCCUGGGUUCGGUCCCCAGCUCCG